UACGUAGGUGGCAAGCGUUGUCCGGAUUUAUUGGGUUUAAAGGGUGCGUAGGCGGCUUUGUAAGUCAGUGGUGAAAUAUCGCAGCUUAACUGUGAGGGUGCCAUUGAUACUGCAGAGCUUGAGUACAGAUGAGGUAGGCGGAAUUGACGGUGUAGCGGUGAAAUGCUUAGAUAUCGUCAAGAACACCUAUAGCGAAGGCAGCUUACUAGGCUGUAACUGACGCUGAGGCACGAAAGCGUGGGGAGCAAACAGG
Molecule: ribosomal RNA, 253 nt
Filed under: uncultured bacterium
Lineage: Bacteria
Description: partial 16S ribosomal RNA
Rfam family: Bacterial small subunit ribosomal RNA
Source: RNAcentral